CCUACGGGAGGCAGCAGUGGGGAAUAUUGCACAAUGGGCGAAAGCCUGAUGCAGCAACGCCGCGUGAGGGAUGAAGGCCUUCGGGGCGGAAAGCUCUGUCCUCAAGGAAGAGAAUGACGGUACGUGAGGAGGAAGCCACGGCUAACGACGUGCCAGCAGCCGCGGUAAUACGUAGGGGGCUAGCGUUAUCCGGAUGUACUGGGCGUAAGGGGGGCGUAGGUGGUUUCUUAAGUCAGUGGUAAAAGGCUACGGCUCACCCGUAGGUAGCCUUUGAAACUGGGGAACUUGAGUGCAGGAGAGGCGAGUGGAAUUCCUCGUGUAGCGGUGAAAUGCGUAGAUAUUAGG
This 345-nucleotide ribosomal RNA is filed under the name uncultured bacterium. RNAcentral's name for it is "partial 16S ribosomal RNA". It matches the Rfam family "Bacterial small subunit ribosomal RNA", at positions 338 to 701 of the family's 1533-position model. The record is from RNAcentral.